This 1372-nucleotide ribosomal RNA is filed under the name uncultured bacterium. RNAcentral's name for it is "16S ribosomal RNA". It matches the Rfam family "Bacterial small subunit ribosomal RNA". The record is from RNAcentral.
AGAGUUUGAUCCUGGCUCAGGAUGAACGCUGGCGGCGUGCUUAACACAUGCAAGUCGAGCGAUGAAGUUUCCUUCGGGAAACGGAUUAGCGGCGGACGGGUGAGUAACACGUGGGUAACCUGCCUCAUAGAGUGGAAUAGCCUUCCGAAAGGAAGAUUAAUACCGCAUAACGUUGAAAGAUGGCAUCAUCAUUCAACCAAAGGAGCAAUCCGCUAUGAGAUGGACCCGCGGCGCAUUAGCUAGUUGGUGGGGUAACGGCCUACCAAGGCGACGAUGCGUAGCCGACCUGAGAGGGUGAUCGGCCACAUUGGGACUGAGACACGGCCCAGACUCCUACGGGAGGCAGCAGUGGGGAAUAUUGCACAAUGGGGGAAACCCUGAUGCAGCAACGCCGCGUGAGUGAUGAAGGUUUUCGGAUCGUAAAGCUCUGUCUUUGGGGAAGAUAAUGACGGUACCCAAGGAGGAAGCCACGGCUAACUACGUGCCAGCAGCCGCGGUAAUACGUAGGUGGCGAGCGUUAUCCGGAUUUACUGGGCGUAAAGGGAGCGUAGGCGGAUGAUUAAGUGGGAUGUGAAAUACCCGGGCUCAACUUGGGUGCUGCAUUCCAAACUGGUUAUCUAGAGUGCAGGAGAGGAGAGUGGAAUUCCUAGUGUAGCGGUGAAAUGCGUAGAGAUUAGGAAGAACACCAGUGGCAAAGGCGACUCUCUGGACUGUAACUGACGCUGAGGCUCGAAAGCGUGGGGAGCAAACAGGAUUAGAUACCCUGGUAGUCCACGCCGUAAACAAUGAAUACUAGGUGUGGGGGUUUCAACACCUCCGUGCCGCCGCUAACGCAUUAAGUAUUCCGCCUGGGGAGUACGGUCGCAAGAUUAAAACUCAAAGGAAUUGACGGGGACCCGCACAAGUAGCGGAGCAUGUGGUUUAAUUCGAAGCAACGCGAAGAACCUUACCUACACUUGACAUCCCUUGCAUUACUCUUAAUCGAGGAAAUCCCUUCGGGGACAAGGUGACAGGUGGUGCAUGGUUGUCGUCAGCUCGUGUCGUGAGAUGUUGGGUUAAGUCCCGCAACGAGCGCAACCCUUGUCGUUAGUUACUACCAUUAAGUUGAGGACUCUAGCGAGACUGCCUGGGUUAACCAGGAGGAAGGUGGGGAUGACGUCAAAUCAUCAUGCCCCUUAUGUGUAGGGCUACACACGUGCUACAAUGGCUGGUACAGAGAGAUGCAAUACCGCGAGGUGGAGCCAAACUUAAAAACCAGUCUCAGUUCGGAUUGUAGGCUGAAACUCGCCUACAUGAAGCUGGAGUUACUAGUAAUCGCGAAUCAGAAUGUCGCGGUGAAUACGUUCCCGGGUCUUGCACUCACCGCCCGUCA